UAUGUGAUCGUCUCUCGCAUAUCAAUAAGCGGAGGAAAAGAAACUAACAAGGAUUCCCCUAGUAACGGCGAGUGAAGCGGGAAGAGCUCAAAUUUGAAAUCUUAAAGGGUUUCCCUUUACGAAUUGUAGUUUAAAGAAGUGUUUUCUGUUGAGGUUUUGGUAAAAGUUCUUUGGAAUAGGACAUCAUAGAGGGUGAGAAUCCCGUAUUUGACCUUUACUUUCAACUUUGUGAUACACUUUCAAAGAGUCGGAUUGUUUGGGAAUGCAGUCCAAAAUGGGUGGUAAAUUUCAUCUAAAGCUAAAUAUUGGCGGGAGACCGAUAGCGAACAAGUACCGUGAGGGAAAGAUGAAAAGAACUUUGAAAAGAGAGUUAAACAGUACGUGAAAUUGUCAAAAGGGAAGCGUUUGACACCAGUGUUGUUUUUCUGAAAAUCAAUUAAAGAACUGUUUAUGCUAAGUUGUUUAGACUUUAUCAGCCUAUCUGCUUUAGUUUUGAGCUUUUCUUUAAUGCACUUUUCAGUUAACAAGUCAACAUCAAUUUCUUUUGCUGUAAAAAAGCUUGAGGAAGGUGGCUUGAGAUUCGUCUUAAGUGUUUAUAGCCUCUUGCCUACGCAGUCGGAGAGAUUGAGGUCUGCAGCGUAGAUCCUUCGGGGCUAAAUGCAUUUGUGCUAAGUUAUAGCAUUUUAUAGACAACUUGUUGACUAUGAUUUGUCUUGUAGCUUACUCGCUUAUGUUAUUUUACCUACGCUUAGGAUGUUGACGAGACUGUCGAUCUC
RNAcentral lists this ribosomal RNA (776 nucleotides) under uncultured Neocallimastigales. RNAcentral's name for it is "partial large subunit ribosomal RNA". It matches the Rfam family "Eukaryotic large subunit ribosomal RNA", at positions 24 to 647 of the family's 3401-position model. The record is from RNAcentral. Lineage: Eukaryota; Fungi; Neocallimastigomycota; Neocallimastigomycetes; Neocallimastigales.